Symsagittifera roscoffensis is the source of this 660-nucleotide long non-coding RNA. RefSeq lists it as uncharacterized. The transcript has 3 exons. Lineage: Eukaryota; Metazoa; Xenacoelomorpha; Acoela; Convolutidae. The record is from RefSeq and is a predicted model, not a curated record.
CGAGCCUGGACAAAGUAAUAGCAGGAUUUGGCGUGUAAAUGAUAAUAGCUACCUGUCCUAAAUUGAAGGUCCGUGUUGUUCAGCCAUUCUCUUUAAGUUCUUAUCAAAUCUGAAAUUCGAGCUCUUUAAGAAACAUUUUAUUGAUUGAAAUAUCUCCACUAACAGCUAUACCAAAGAAGCCACGAGAGUAAUGUCAACUGCUCCCACCCACACUUUCAAGUGCAAAGUCACUAAACUCACCCCCUCUGGAGCCUGGGACACGAAUGGGAGAAGAGCACGCUUGUUGUUCGGAUGCAACAUGAACUCAUCGGUCGUCUGGUAUGACUGUGUCAGCAACUGUGGUGUGACAAGAAUCAAUAACCUAUGCGAUGAGAAGUUCCUGACAGGAAAAGGAACGGACGAUUCGACUUCCAACGUGUUAAUUUUCACUGACAAAGAAGACAAUCGUACCCGACAUUACUUGUUCCCAGACGCAGCACAAGCAGAGUUAGCAUUGGCAAUCAUGACUAAAAAAGACACGGAGGAAGCGAAAGAAACUGAGAGGGAAACUUGAGAAAAUGACCAAGAAUGACAUUAAUAAGUGCGCACCAAGAAAGCAAAACAAUUGAAACUAAGAAAAAAUUGCAAGUAAACUGGAUCUAACCGACAAAGUUUCGAACA